CCUACGGGAGGCAGCAGUGGGGAAUAUUGGGCAAUGGAGGCAACUCUGACCCAGCCAAGUAGCGUGAAGGAUGACUGCCCUAUGGGUUGUAAACUUCUUUUAUAUGGGAAUAAAAUGUUCCACGUGUGGGAUUUUGUAUGUACCAUAUGAAUAAGGAUCGGCUAACUCCGUGCCAGCAGCCGCGGUAAUACGGAGGAUCCGAGCGUUAUCCGGAUUUAUUGGGUUUAAAGGGAGCGUAGGUGGAUUGUUAAGUCAGUUGUGAAAGUUUGCGGCUCAACCGUAAAAUUGCAGUUGAAACUGGCAGUCUUGAGUACAGUAGAGGUGGGCGGAAUUCGUGGUGUAGCGGUGAAAUGCUUAGAUAUCACGAAGAACUCCGAUUGCGAAGGCAGUUCACUGGACUGCAACUGACACUGAGGCUCGAAAGUGUGGGUAUCAAACAGGAUUAGAUACCCGAGUAGUC
RNAcentral lists this ribosomal RNA (460 nucleotides) under uncultured bacterium. RNAcentral describes it as "partial 16S ribosomal RNA". It matches the Rfam family "Bacterial small subunit ribosomal RNA", at positions 338 to 795 of the family's 1533-position model. The record is from RNAcentral.